UCCGUGAUCGUCUAAUGGCAGGACAUCGGCUUUUGGUGCCGAGUAUCUAGGUUCGAAUCCUGGUCGCGGAA
This 71-nucleotide transfer RNA is filed under the name Pseudomonadota bacterium. Its description in RNAcentral is "Proteobacteria bacterium (gut metagenome) tRNA-Gln". It matches the Rfam family "tRNA". Rfam says of the family: Transfer RNA (tRNA) molecules are approximately 80 nucleotides in length. Their secondary structure includes four short double-helical elements and three loops (D, anti-codon, and T loops). Further hydrogen bonds mediate the characteristic L-shaped molecular structure. tRNAs have two regions of fundamental functional importance: the anti-codon, which is responsible for specific mRNA codon recognition, and the 3' end, to which the tRNAs corresponding amino acid is attached (by aminoacyl-tRNA synthetases). tRNAs cope with the degeneracy of the genetic code in two manners: having more than one tRNA (with a specific anti-codon) for a particular amino acid; and 'wobble' base-pairing, i.e. permitting non-standard base-pairing at the 3rd anti-codon position. The record is from RNAcentral. Lineage: Bacteria; Pseudomonadati; Pseudomonadota. RNAcentral also lists the same sequence under 2 other names.